RNAcentral lists this ribosomal RNA (816 nucleotides) under uncultured bacterium. RNAcentral's name for it is "bacterial SSU rRNA". It matches the Rfam family "Bacterial small subunit ribosomal RNA", at positions 53 to 878 of the family's 1533-position model. The record is from RNAcentral.
ACAUGCAAGUCGAACGGACCUAACCAUUAGUUUACUAUUGGAGCGGUUAGUGGCGGACUGGUGAGUAACACGUAAGCAACCUGCCUAUCAGAGGGGAACAACAGUUAGAAAUGACUGCUAAUACCGCAUAUGCCUUAGAAUCACAUGGUUCAAAAGGGAAAGGAGCAAUCCGCUGAUAGAUGGGCUUGCGUCUGAUUAGAUAGUUGGUGAGGUAACGGCCCACCAAGUCGACGAUCAGUAGCCGGACUGAGAGGUUGAACGGCCACAUUGGGACUGAGAUACGGCCCAGACUCCUACGGGAGGCAGCAGUCGGGAAUAUUGCGCAAUGGAGGAAACUCUGACGCAGUGACGCCGCGUGCAGGAAGAAGGUUUUCGGAUUGUAAACUGCUUUAGACAGGGAAGAUACAAGACAGUACCUGUAGAAUAAGCUCCGGCUAACUACGUGCCAGCAGCCGCGGUAAUACGUAGGGAGCAAGCGUUAUCCGGAUUUAUUGGGUGUAAAGGGUGCGUAGACGGGAAAACAAGUUAGUUGUGAAAUCCCUCGGCUUAACUGAGGAACUGCAACUAAAACUAUUUUUCUUGAGUGCUGGAGAGGAAAGUGGAAUUCCUAGUGUAGCGGUGAAAUGCGUAGAUAUUAGGAGGAACACCAGUGGCGAAGGCGACUUUCUGGACAGUAACUGACGUUGAGGCACGAAAGUGUGGGGAGCAAACAGGAUUAGAUACCCUGGUAGUCCACACCGUAAACGAUGGAUACUAGGUGUAGGGGAUGAAUAAUCCUCUGUGCCGUCGCAAACGCAGUAAGUAUCCCACCUGGGG